GUGCUCACUUUGGCAGCACAUAUACUUAAAUUGGAAUGAUACAAAGAAGAUUAGCAUGGCCUCUGCUCAAGGAUGACAUGCAAAUUGGUGAAGCAUUUCAUGUUUUU
RNAcentral lists this small nuclear RNA (107 nucleotides) under Bos taurus (domestic cattle). RNAcentral also lists the same sequence under 1 other name. Lineage: Eukaryota; Metazoa; Chordata; Mammalia; Artiodactyla; Bovidae. The record is from RNAcentral.